AAGCGCUUGCGACCAGACCUGCCCGCGGGCGCUCAGCGGUGGUUCUCCGCCGUGCACUCGUCCGCGACCAGGCCAGCAUCAGUUCCGGCGACCGGAUAAAGGCCCGGGGAACGUAGCUCCUCCCGGGGAGUAUUAUAGCCCCGGGUGCCAUACGGCCAGCUCGGGACUGAGGACCGCGCUUCGGCAAGGAUGCUGGCAUAAUGGUCUUAAG
This 211-nucleotide ribosomal RNA is filed under the name Ramalinaceae sp. RNAcentral describes it as "partial large subunit ribosomal RNA". Lineage: Eukaryota; Fungi; Ascomycota; Lecanoromycetes; Lecanorales; Ramalinaceae. The record is from RNAcentral.